RNAcentral lists this ribosomal RNA (1474 nucleotides) under uncultured bacterium. RNAcentral describes it as "partial 16S ribosomal RNA". It matches the Rfam family "Bacterial small subunit ribosomal RNA". The record is from RNAcentral.
AGAGUUUGAUCCUGGCUCAGAUUGAACGCUGGCGGCAGGCUUAACACAUGCAAGUCGAGCGGUAACAGAGAUAGCUUGCUAUCUGCUGACGAGCGGCGGACGGGUGAGUAAUGCUUGGGAAUAUGCCUUAUGGUGGGGGACAACAGUUGGAAACGACUGCUAAUACCGCAUAACGUCUACGGACCAAAGGGGGGGACUUCGGACCUCUCGCCAUUUGAUUAGCCCAAGUGAGAUUAGCUAGUUGGUAAGGUAAAGGCUUACCAAGGCGACGAUCUCUAGCUGGUUUGAGAGGAUGAUCAGCCACACUGGGACUGAGACACGGCCCAGACUCCUACGGGAGGCAGCAGUGGGGAAUAUUGCACAAUGGGCGAAAGCCUGAUGCAGCCAUGCCGCGUGUGUGAAGAAGGCCUUCGGGUUGUAAAGCACUUUCAGUUGUGAGGAAAGGGUUGUAGUUAUAGCUGCAAUCUGUGACGUUACAACAGAAGAAGCACCGGCUAACUUCGUGCCAGCAGCCGCGGUAAUACGAGGGGUGCAAGCGUUAAUCGGAAUUACUGGGCGUAAAGCGUUCGUAGGCGGUUUGUUAAGCAAGAUGUGAAAGCCCCGGGCUCAACCUGGGAAUGGCAUUUUGAACUGGCAGGCUCGAGUUUUGAAGAGGGUGGUAGAAUUUCCUGUGUAGCAGUGAAAUGCGUAGAUAUAGGAAGGAAUACCAGUGCGAAGGCGGCCACCUGGUCAAAAACUGACGCUGAGGUACGAAAGCGUGGGGAGCAAACAGGAUUAGAUACCCUGGUAGUCCACGCCGUAAACGAUGUCAACUAGUUGUUCGUGUCAUAAACGAUGUGAGUAACGCAGCUAACGCACUAAGUUGACCGCCUGGGGAGUACGGCCGCAAGGUUAAAACUCAAAUGAAUUGACGGGGGCCCGCACAAGCGGUGGAGCAUGUGGUUUAAUUCGAUGCAACGCGAAGAACCUUCCAUCCCUUGACAUCCAGUGAAUUUUCCAGAGAUGGAUUAGUGCCUUCGGGAACACUGAGACAGGUGCUGCAUGGCUGUCGUCAGCUCGUGUUGUGAGAUGUUGGGUUAAGUCCCGCAACGAGCGCAACCCACAUCCUUAGUUGCCAGCAGUUCGGCUGGGCACUCUAAGGAAACUGCCCGUGAUAAGCGGGAGGAAGGUGUGGAUGACGUCAAGUCCUCAUGGCCCUUACGGGUUGGGCUACACACGUGCUACAAUGCAGUGACAAUGGGUUAAUCCCCAAAAGCUGUCUCAGUUCGGAUCGGGGUCUGCAACUCGACCCCAUGAAGUCGGAAUCGCUAGUAAUCGUGGAACAGCAUGCCACGGUGAAUACGUUCCCGGGCCUUGUACACACCGCCCGUCACACCAUGGGAGUUGGUUCUACCCGACGGCCGUGCGCUAACCUUUUGGGGGCAGCGGACCACGGUAGGAUCAGCGACUGGGGUGAAGUCGUAACAAGGUAACC